GAAUAGCCACCGGGGUAGGAAGAUGCGUUCACUUUGCUUACCUGUUGGCAAGAGGGACAUACAAAAAUAACGUAACGUGACAUCGUUGACAACGGUAGCUCUUUGAUUACACAAAAGCCAAUUUUACCUUCCCGCAAAAGCCAGUUGACGCCUUUGGAACUUUUAUUUGCGGCAUUUUGGCGCCCUCUGGCUGUGUUUGGAUCGCUUUCAUGCUCGCCUGCGUCCCAGCCAAGAAAAAAUCGAUGGAGCUGCAGGUUGUCCUCAGGAUGGUUCUGCCCUCAGGACCUGGGCGUGAAUUCAGGGACAGGGUGGCCCUCCAGAACCGGAGUGACAAACUGUAACCAUACUUAGGGAGGCAGACGUCAAAGGCAAGUACAUCUGUAUUCAACUGGGUAAAGCCAUGUGAAGACGUGCCUGCCUCCCUGUUACCUUCCACCAUGAUUGUAAGCUUCCUGAGGCCUCCCCAGCCAUGCCUGCUGUAUAGCCUGCAGAACAGAAGCGUUCCACUGUAAAGGAGCAACUUGACAGGCUGAGCCUGGCGGUGACAGCAUACAGGAUGGGCGCAGCCCCCACAUCUGGGUCAUUUCGUGUCAUCAUGUCUGGAAUAUCAAGUUUGAGCACGUAUGCAGCAAGGAUACCCUUCAACUAAAAGUUGCAUCCUCAAAUUGGGGCUUUCUAACUCAGCGUGGCGAUGUUGUGGAUCAGGUCAAAAGUGCUUUUCCUUAGAGCCAAGUUGAGAGUUGAGAGGCCUCUGCCACCUGCAUCUGUGCUUAUGAGCAACACAUGUGGUCUCGGAGGGGGCUUCGGCGAGCACAAACUCCAGCAUUGUCAUUCAGAACCCAGGACAAAGCCUUUCACACUUGCACGACAUGUGCUUUCUGAAAUGAAUGCAACUGCAUACUUCCUUCUUGAGCUCGCAGUAAUGAAUGACUUCACAGAUGGAUGGAUGAUCUUGUGGCUGGCUACAAAGAAUAGACUAAAACCCGCGGAAAUGCAGAUAGAUUAAAAAGGAGUGACAGGUGGGUCCAUCCUACACUCCCUACACUCUCUGUUUGUCCAACAAAAUGGUAGUCCUCUAGCGGCUGCCGGAGUCCCAGUAUCCCAGAGGAAACUGCGAAAAACCUCCUCAAAUGAGUAAUUAGGUCGCCGGACCCAGUGGUUCAGGCCUAUAAUCCCAGCACUUUGGGAGGCUGGAGCAGGCAGAUCACUUGAAGUCAGGAGUUCGAGACCAGCCUGGCCAACAUGGUGAAACACCAUCUCUACUAAAAACACAAAAAUUAGCCGGGCAUGGUGGUGGGCACCUGUAAUCCCAGCUACUUGGGGGGCUGAGGCAGGAGAAUUGCUUCAACCCAGGAAGAGGAGGUUGUAGAGAGUGGAGAUUGUGCCACUGUACUCCAGCCUGGGUGACAGAGUGAAAUGAAAGAGAAGCAAGGAAGGCAAGAAGGCAGGAAGGCAGAAAGGCAGAAAGGCAGGAAGGCAGGAAGGCAGGAAGGCAGGAAGGCAGGAAGGCAGGAAGGAAGGAAGGAAGGAAGGAAGGAAGGAAGGAAGCGAAGGAAAAAGGAGAGGAAGGAAAGGAAAGGCAGGCAGGAAGGAAGAAAGGAAGAAAGGGAAGGAGAGGAAGGAAAGGAAAGGGAAGGGAAGGAGAGGAAGGAGGGAAGGAAGGAGAGUAAUUAGAUCAGCAGCACUGGCCCCUGCCAGUUCACUUUUUCAAAAGUCAACCUCCUCAAGUCACCUUUGUUUCUCAAAGGCUUCACAUACAGAAGAUGCUGUGACUACAGCGGAUUGUCUCGCAGAUCUGCAGUCUGCAUUGGUCCUAGUGAGGAGAGACCUUUGGCUCCGUCCUCAUAGGGCUUUUUCCUUAAGAGAAGAAGAUAUUGUCCCACUUGAUGAAUUUGGGGGAAAUGUACGUUAGAGAACAUGUACAGCAAGGUCAAUAGUAACAACACAGACCCUAGUAUAAGCAUUCCAUCAUCUGCUUAUUAUAACCUCUCCAGGCUGUGAGAAAUUAACACUGAGGCCAACAAUGGGUGCUCACUACUCUGAAUGAGCAGUACUUUGCAUUUACUAGGAGCACUGGGGAAGUAGCCAUUCACCAAAAGGGUACAAAAACACAUAGAAUGAAAACAAUUCUCAUUUUAUUUUCAUUCAGAUGUGUAAGUCGAACUGUUUUCAUUGCUGUUUGUCCAAGUAAUCUUCCUCCCAGGGGGUGCUUACAAAGCCACUGAAUUCCCUGGAUGUCAGGUGCAGUAAUGAGUCAUUAGCCACAAGGCAUACAAUCAAAAGAGAAAGACAACUUCAAAUACAGAUUAGAAGAACACUUACCUAAACAACAAAAAUAAGGAAAACCAAGCACCUCAAAAAUCAGUUUGCUAAUCCAACACUUUACAUUAAACAGGUGAUUUUAUUGAUUCUAUCCCUAAUUUGCUGUAAGAUUUUGCUUAGUUCCCUUGAAAACGGCAACAUGGCAGAUGCAGUGACUCACACCUGUAAUCCCAGCACUUUGGGAGGCCAAGGCAGGCCGAUCACUUGAGGUCAGAAGUUCAAGACCAGCCAGGCCAACGUGGUGGAAUCCCCUCUCGACUAAAAAUACAAAAAUUAGCUGGGCAUGGUGGCAGGCGCCUGUAAUCCCA
Molecule: long non-coding RNA, 2630 nt
Filed under: Homo sapiens (human)
Lineage: Eukaryota; Metazoa; Chordata; Mammalia; Primates; Hominidae
Description: BASP1 antisense RNA 1
Source: RNAcentral